UUGGAAAUCGCUCUCAGUUAGGUUGCAGAAAUGUUUUCUGAAGCCUUCCCUUUCCUGUGCCUUUGGCUAAAAGAUGUCCACUUUCUGAUUUGGGAUUUACAGCUGUUCUGCCCUGGAGAGGGUCAGGAGCAAGGCCCUGAGAUCAAAGGGACCUCCCUGUGUCCCCAGGGCCCUGCAGGGGACAGAAUGGACACUCUGGGGUCAUAUCUGUGUUAGUAUGUAGGGGACAGAAUGAACAUUUUGGGGUUAAAAUGAGGGAAUCAGUAGUGGACAGGUGGGGAAAAUAUUGGACAUAAGUCUUGAGGCUGUCUGUAGAGGACAGGAAAUAUUUUGGAGGGAGAUUGGUUGUUCCUUUGUGCUGCGCUCUGUACUCAGUCGUGGGUCAGCUCCAGAAAUUUCCUUGGGCAGCUACAAAAAUGAUCUCUGGAAAGUGGGAAAAUCCCACUGGCAAAAUGCAGAGGAACAGGUAUUCUGAACCUCUCCUGCCUCUUACAGAGCAAACGUGGUAAUCCCAGGUCUCUCUUGGAAAAAUCUAUGACCAUAAGGUUUCCCAGGAGAAAAAAAAAAACAAGGACAGAGAUGAGGGCACGUGCUCCCAAUGAAUAAGGAUUUGAUGGGUGCAGGAAUGAUUCGUGUGUGUUUUCCACUCCCCUUUUUAUUCCCGGAAUAACCUUAAAAUUAUUCCUUUAAGAGACCGACCAAACUGGAGAAUUUGAAUCAGAGAGGAAGCGAUGCACAACAAAUGCAGGGAGAAAUGGUGGAAUGGUGAUGGAAUCCUGCAGUGGUUCGGGUUGCAAGGGACCUUAAAGCUCAUGCAGCCCCACUGCUUGAGCAGGGACACCUUCCCCUAGCCCAGGUUGGCCCUGGUCGCAGAUGGAUAUGGAAGUGCUGGAGGUGUUUAGGGAAUGCUGCUAGUUUUUCCCCCACCUCUGGCCAUCGGGUCCUUCAAAAGACUAAUUCACCUCUUCGCCCAGGGAAAAAGGCUGGAGCAAGAGGUUCCAAAAAGAACGGGGCUUUCUGCACGAUGAAACCCGGGAGUGCCCGAUCCUGCCUGGAAGGAGGGGGGCGUGAACGGGCGGUGGGCGCCGCCAUGAAAGGAGCCGAGGGGCAGGGACUUGUCCGUACAAGGAGUGUCGGGGCGUGCCCAUGGCCAUAAAAGGUAAACGAAGGGUGGGGAUAUGCCCGAAAAAGGAGCGUGUGGGGCGGGGCUACGGCCAUAAAAGGAGUGUGGGGCGGAGCGAUGCCCAUAAAAGGUGUGUGGUCUGUGCUAUAACCGUUAAAAGAUAAUAUGGGGCGGGGUAAUGCCCAUAAAAGGAGUGUCUAGGGCGGGGCGAUGCCCAUAUAAGGGGUGUCGGGGCGGGGCGAUACCCCAAAAAGGAGUGUGUGGGGCGUGGCCAUGCCCAUACAAGGAGGCGUCCGUCCUGUCUCGGUGAGCGAUUCUUCCGGACCGGGUGUUCUCAGUGUUCUCAUCGCUGCUGCUGCUGCCACCGCUGUCAUUGGUGUUUUGUAUCAUCAUUAAUAUUAAAUUACUCUGUUUUUCUCGGUGUCCGUUAUUAAACUGUUCUGAUCUCACCCCA
This is a long non-coding RNA of Myiozetetes cayanensis, 1577 nucleotides long. RefSeq lists it as uncharacterized. The record is from RefSeq and is a predicted model, not a curated record. The transcript has 2 exons. Lineage: Eukaryota; Metazoa; Chordata; Aves; Passeriformes; Tyrannidae.